GAUGAAGAACGUAGCGAAAUGCGAUACGUAAUGUGAAUUGCAGAAUUCAGUGAAUCAUCGAAUCUUUGAACGCAUAUUGCGCUCUCUGGUAUUCCGGAGAGCAUGCUUGUUUGAGUAUCAGUAAACACCUCAACUUCCAUAUCUUUUUUGAAAUGGGAGUUGGACUUGAGUGAUCCCAACGCUUUUCCUCACCGAAAAGUGGCGGGUUACUUGAAAUGCAGGUGCAGCUGGACUUUUCUCUGAGCUAUAAGCAUAUCUAUUUAGUCUGCCUAAAAAACAGAUUAUUACCUUUGCUGCAGCUAACAUAAAGGAGAUUAGUUCUUGUGCUGACUGAUGCAGGAUUCACAAAGACAGGCUUCGGCCGACUUUGUAAACUCGAUCUCAAAUCAAGUAAGACUACCCGCUGAACUUAAGCAUAUCAAUUAAGCGGAGGA
This 434-nucleotide unclassified non-coding RNA is filed under the name soil metagenome. RNAcentral's name for it is "partial contains 5.8S ribosomal RNA, internal transcribed spacer 2, and large subunit ribosomal RNA". The stretch from base 1 to 120 matches the Rfam family "5.8S ribosomal RNA", at positions 35 to 154 of the family's 154-position model. The record is from RNAcentral.